Molecule: long non-coding RNA, 1485 nt
Organism: Contarinia nasturtii (swede midge)
Lineage: Eukaryota; Metazoa; Arthropoda; Insecta; Diptera; Cecidomyiidae
Exons: 3
Source: RefSeq, a predicted model, not a curated record
CGCGCACGUAUAACACUCGAUAGAAAACUGUUUAAACAAUGAAAUAAAAUAAAAUAAAAUAUCAUCGCAAAUCCGAAGAUUUUUGUCAUUUUUGUGUGUUGCAUCAUUUUGUGUGUGUACCAAAAAAGGAGAUAGAUUCUUGUUCUGUUUCAGAUUUAUUCAUUCGAAAAUGGCGAAUCGUUUCAAGCCAUCCAUACCAGCGAAGAGAUAAACGAAGGAUGAGAUUACGACGAUCAAAUGUGCGCUGAAGACAAUCAUUCGCCCACAAUUCCAGCAAGCAUUGAUGAGCAAAAUAACGGACCUGAGCUUGCAAGCCACUUCAAUUUGCGUUUUGGGCUCAUUGCUGUUCUUGUUCGAGGUGCAAAAAGCGUACGAACAUAGGCAUUGAGAAUAAUGAUUUCGCAUUCUUUGGUGAAAGUGGAGAAAAAAAGAUCCAACUCUCCUUUAACCAAGUGCUAUGGCAUAACAGUCAGCCACCGAAACCGAAAAAAUCGAGGAACAAAGCCACGAGGACCACGAGCAGAGCUGCCACGUAUCGACCCUGAAUUCAAAGCAAUCGUCGAGGGUCUUGACGACUACCAUCGUAUCGAUUGGCCCAACAACAAAGAUUUCAGCAAUGGCCUCAAGCAUUUGGCCAAUCAAUACACAGACAACGUCGUCACCAAUUCAACAACGCAUCCUAACAAACACAUCACCUAGUACUUGAAACUAAAAUUGUUCGAAUUGAACACAGACGGAGAAGAGGAUGCAGAGAAAUUUUUGCCAAGUGACAUCGAAAGUGUUGUGAAAUUGAUAACCAAACAAAAGGACAUCAAAGUGCCAAUUCACGGUCCAGACAAACUCUAACGGUGUGUCGUGUUGUAUGACAUGGUGAACGACCUGAGUGUGUUUCCAGAAAUCGAUCUGCAUGACCCCACGACUGACGCACAACAUUGGUUUAAGGCCAUGCCCAUCCCCCGAUAGCAAUUGUCAAAAAUAUGACUUUUCUGCAAAACGUUGCCAGCGCCAUCUGAGAUCCAUGUGACAGCUGAUAUUUCAAUGUCAUUUCGAUACAAAAUGCGUAAACAAACCGACGAACGCACAGAAAAAUUAUUUUUAUGUUGCUUCUGUGGCAUAUUUAUUAAGAAAAAUAAAAAUAAUCUAGAUCGCCAUGAACGACUUCACGCGGAUAAAGUCAAAAAAUAUAAAUGUUGUGCAAAAAAUUGUGAGUCAAAAUUUACAAACAAAGAGAACUAUUACGUGCAUUGGCAGAAACAACAUAGAAAAAGUGUGAUACCGGACUGUUUAAAUUUUUUUUAUGAGAAACCAAAAUUGAAAAAACGAUUAUUUAAAAUGCGUGAGGCCAAAAUACAAAUUAAAAAUUGUGAAAAGCCAAUUAGCUAUGAAAUCUUACAAGCUGUUGGCUUAUUACAAAAUGCUUGUGUUAAAAUCAGUGAUGGUUUUUUCCUAUCUGAAUAGCGCUAGCUAUUCGCAGCACCUGUACAG